AACGAACGCUGGCGGCAGGCCUAACACAUGCAAGUCGAGCGCACCUUUCGGGGUGAGCGGCGGACGGGUGAGUAACGCGUGGGAACGUACCCUCUUGCCUGGGAUAACAGUUGGAAACGACUGCUAAAACCGGAUGAGCCCUUUGGGGGAAGGAGAGGAUCGGCCCGCGUCUGAUUAGAUAGUUGGUGGGGUAACGGCCUACCAAGUCUACGAUCAGUACCUGGUUUGAGAGGAUGAUCAGGCACACUGGGACUGAGACACGGCCCAGACUCCUACGGGAGGCAGCAGUGGGGAAUCAUAGACAAUGGGGGAAACCCUGAUCUUGCCAUGCCGCGUGGACGAUGAAGGCCUUGGGGUUGUAAAGUCCUUUCACCGGGGAAGAUAAUGACGGUACCCGGAGAAGAAGCCCCGGCUAACUCCGUGCCAGCAGCCGCGGUAAUACGGAGGGGGCUAGCGUUGUUCGGAAUUACUGGGCGUAAAGCGCGCGUAGGCGGGCUGUUAAGUCGGGGGUGAAAUCCCGGGGCUCAACCCCGGAACUGCCCUCGAUACUGGCAGCCUUGAGGAUGGCAGAGGCCAGUGGAAUGGCGAGUGUAGAGGUGAAAUUCGUAGAUAUUCGCCGGAACACCAGUGGCGAAGGCGACUGGCUGGGCCAUU
RNAcentral lists this ribosomal RNA (654 nucleotides) under uncultured bacterium. RNAcentral describes it as "bacterial SSU rRNA". It matches the Rfam family "Bacterial small subunit ribosomal RNA", at positions 28 to 738 of the family's 1533-position model. The record is from RNAcentral.